This 467-nucleotide ribosomal RNA is filed under the name uncultured bacterium. RNAcentral's name for it is "partial 16S ribosomal RNA". It matches the Rfam family "Bacterial small subunit ribosomal RNA", at positions 29 to 507 of the family's 1533-position model. The record is from RNAcentral.
ACGCACGCUGGCGGCGUGCUUAACACAUGCAAGUCGAACGGAAAGGCCCUGCUUUUGUGGGGUGCUCGUGUGGCGAACGGGUGAGUAACACGUGAGUAACCUGCCCUUGACUUUGGGAUAACUUCAGGAAACUGGGGCUAAUACCGGAUAGGAGCUCCUGCUGCCUGGUGGGGGUUGGAAAGUUUCGGCGGUUGGGGAUGGACUCGCGGCUUAUCAGCUUGUUGGUGGGGUAGUGGCUUACCAAGGCUUUGACGGGUAGCCGGCCUGAGAGGGUGACCGGCCACAUUGGGACUGAGAUACGGCCCAGACUCCUACGGGAGGCAGCAGGGGGGAAUAUUGCACAAUGGGCGGAAGCCUGAUGCAGCAACGCCGCGUGCGGGAUGACGGCCUUCGGGUUGUAAACCGCUUUCGCCUGUGACGAAGCGUGAGUGACGGUAAUGGGUAAAGAAGCACCGGCUAACUACGUG